This 356-nucleotide long non-coding RNA is filed under the name Carica papaya (papaya). Its description in RNAcentral is "long non-coding RNA (CPAP_LNC015044)". The record is from RNAcentral. Lineage: Eukaryota; Viridiplantae; Streptophyta; Magnoliopsida; Brassicales; Caricaceae.
UCGGACAGUCCAGAUCAAACAUGCGCACAGACGGCCCAGAUUCACGUGCACGGACGGCCCAGAUUGCAUCGCGAUGAACGGCUCAGAUUUAAUUCCAAUUAAAUCGCGAUCGAACGGUCCAGAUUUAAUCUUGAUGGACGGUUGAGAUUAAAGGCAAAGGGUAUAAAUAACCCCACCCACACCUGACCACAAAAACCCUAGCCGCCAGUGCCUUGCCGGAGAAGAAGAACCAGACGCCGGAGGAGCCGGUCGCCGCCACCCGCCGCCGCAUCGGGGAAGUUUUCGACCGCCGAUCGAGGUAAAUUUUCUCCCCCUUGCUUGUUUUUCGAUGCUGAGUCCUCCUGUGGCCAAACCGG